AAAAAGGGCAUGAGGACUCUCAAAAGAGACCAUACUCCCUUGUGACCUGAAGCCCUUGUGCGCAGCAGAAAGAGAGUUUUGACCGUUCUUGGAAAAAGACAGAACUGGGUGGACAUGGGCUCAGAAAUUUGCAAUAAAAAAAUGAAGCCUCGGAGAUUCCACUCUAAUAGCUGUGCGUGUCCAAGCGUGCUGCUGCCCGGCUGGCUCCGUCUUGCACCGUCUCCCCUCCUCAUGCCCCUUCCACCUGCCCCGCAUCUGUGCCUUCCCGUUCAUCAGGCACUGCUCCUCAUCUAAUCGAAACCUCCGGCACGGCUUCAGGCCAAAUGGCAUCAACCCCUCUGGCCGAGCGCCAGUAAAGCCCAGGAACUUGCCAGUUUGCGUUGGCUGCCGCCGUGUAUUUAGCUUUCUUUCACAUUUUUGUGAUAAUACAUCAUGUGGAUUUUGUGUGCACGUAUGUCUUUUCCUCCACCUACUCUGGAGCAUUAAUUUAGAUCCGGUCCUCAUGGAUCUUAAUUGUCUCAUUGACUGAGUCCUGUCGGUCCCUCUCACUGGACCUCACUGCACACUGGAUUGUGAGCCUCUGAGGAAAACCAAAAUAAAAGGGGGUUUUAUAAAGCUCCUGGCAAGGUGACCCCCCUGUCCUGACUGAGGUGUAGGCAAAUGCCAGCAUAAGACAAACAAAAGGAAAAUACGUUUGACUUCAAAUAGUCCUUGAAGCCGGUUCUUACAGCACCUCAUCAGUAUUUGCCUGUGUAAGGUGACACUGUCAGGCUGCCUUGCUUUGUGUCAGCGGCAAGUUUGGUGAUGGUGCCUUGCUCUUGUGAUCUAUCGUGGAUCUUGUGAUAUUUGUUGCUUGCUAAAAGCCUGGAUGUUUGGGGUCACAUGAGAAUCUGAGACAUCAGUUUUUCUGCUGUUACCAGGCCUCGUGGACAUAGGGAAACGGUUAAGGCCCUCCACGGUGAACCUGAAGACAAGGAUAUCAGAAGACAAAUAGACCUUCAGUUUUCUAGGGAAAAAAGACUGCACCACGCUGAGGUUAUGGACAGCUUUGGAAAGUCCAGCACUGAAGUUCUGCUGUGGUUGCCCCCCUCUCAAUCAGCAUGGGAUUUCCCCCACCUCGGCCUGCAAUUUCUAACUCUCCUAAUGGGGUACCAGCCUAGUUAAGAGCUCCUAGUCAAGAUCUCCUACACCUUCUGUGGGCAGGGUGUGUGACGCCGAACCCAGCCGUGCCCUCAACACCACCUGGAGAGACGUCAGCCAGCACUGGCUUUCCACUGCAUGCACCAGCAAGGAGGCCAAGGCACUAGCUGUACAUGGUCCCCAGCCUGCAUCAAUCACUUUUCAACCAACAAACAGCAUUUUCAGCCUGCAGAAAAUGAAAAUAAAUAAAUAAAUCAUAGCCCCAAGAGGUCUCUGUGGAAUUGCCGUGGAUUUUAGAUGUGCUGUGGCUGCUUUCAGUCCCUCCACUUACUCUUUGCAUCGCCCCACUGCCUGCUGCAAAUCCCAGUCUGUCUGCGCCUUUUCCCCAGCCCCUGCAGGGCUGGUGAAGCUGGCGACAUUGCACAAGACACAAGCCUCAGAAGUGGCUGGGGGAAGGAAGCAGAAGCCCGAAGAUGUGCCUUGUAGCAGGACUUAGCCAAGGAACGUCUUCCUGUUUGCAGGGCAAUCCUGUUAAGUAACGCAGCACCUUACCUUUCCCUAUUGCACAUUUGACCCGCUCUGUCCCUACUACAACCAGCUGCACUGGAUAUUGACAGGGACCAGGACCUGCCUCCGUGGGGAACCAUCUUCCAUGAGUGCUCAGCCCUGUCUGAGACCACCCCGUGUUCCUUCCCCUCAGCACAGACACCACUUUGUGCCUGAUUUUGACGGGCUGAGCUGUGUUUCCCGUGAGCCAACGCGCUGUAGUUUAUGCCUAUGCUCUCUGGUGCUGCCGUUCCCAGCCCACUAUCAUUUCACAUCAGGGUGCUCUGCACUCCACCUUUCAGCUCCUGCUCAUUACUGUGGGCACGCACAUGCCAUUAUUAGUACUCCGAGACACAGAGCAGGACCGGGUCCCUGUGCCAGGAUCUGUAAGGAAUGAUCCUGCCAGGGAGCAAACACAGCUGGGCUCAAGAAAUAGGGCAGGCAGGGAGCACACACCCAGCAUUCAGAGGCAAGGAAGGCUGCCUGAAUUUGUGCCAUUCCUGGCAUUUCUCCUUGUCCUUGCCGAAAGGAAAAGAUAAAAGAAGGACCCAUCCCAGCAGAACACUUGAUUUAGUGCUCCCUCUUCUUCUCAAGGAACAGCAACCUGCCAGGGAUGUGGAGGCACACAGAGGGAGGUGGAGAGACACGGAGGAACGUGGUGGGAUAUGAAGGGACAUGGGGGGCAUGGAAAGACGUGGAGGAAUGUGGAGGGACACGGAGGGUCAUAGAGGAUGACAGGAUCUGGGGUAGGUGUGGAGAGGCACCCCAUGAGCCUGCAGCUGGAGGCGCCUGGUCAAGAACUUGGUUGAUCUGGGAAGAGGGAGGUUGCCUAAGACUAAUUUCUUGUAGUGCUUGGUGGGCUCAGAGCAGGGAGAAGGCAGCUGGUGCUGUUUUGGCCAUGUGCUUAGCAUGUUUGUACCUUGCCCGUCGGCAGGAGGAAACCUGCCUUGUGAGCAUCGUGCCUGGCUGACAGGAUUGGUAUCUGCCCCAUCACCCUUUCCAGCAGAGCUUCUUUUACACUGUUUGGGUAAAGAAUCGAAAUGGUGACCUAAACACAGUAGAGAUAGCAGCGAAAUGUCUAAAGCCAAACGCCUCUCUUAGAAAAGUGAGAGUAAUACCCUGGAAUAAAUGCAGCUUUCUCAUAAGAAUGUGAGCAAAUCUGUGCUUUGUUUUCUUUGGUUAUUUAUGCUAUAAUCAUUGUUUGACUUGACCUAGUAGCUGUGGCAUGCUUCUUGCCAACUUCUUGUAGCAUGCAGCACACAAGGAAUAGGCAUGAGCUUUGUCUCUGCUGUCUCCCUUUGCCUUCAUUUCAGAAAUUACAGAUCCUGUUAAUCUGUGCUUACACUCACAUGAAAGAUUUAGGCAAUGCUGUGCUUUUUCUUUUCCGCAGCCAAUAAACCAGCCAAGAAGUACACUGACCCCUGAGUUUGCGUCAGUCCCUGAGAUUUCUCUUUAGGACUCUCUCAGCUGCAAGUAUCACUAUCCUGACUAUUUGGGGACUUCCAGCUUUGGCUCGGUUGAAUUUUCUUCUGUCUGGAAAUACAUCCUCUUCAGUUGCUCUGGCCACAUUCUCCAUCGAUUGCCGGCUCUUACUAAGCCCAAAGUUUUGAAAUGGCUUUCCUCUCACCAUAACUACUUUUUUUUUGCCAGGUUCCAUUAUAAACUGUCUUCUUCCAGUUUGUCAAGUUAUCCAUUUGUCUAAUAUUUGUACUCAUUUGCUGGUUGUGGAAGUGUGAUGUGUUCAUUUUCUGGUGUCUUUGUGUUUCUUGGGAUGGGGCAGACCCAGUCUCGUUGCGCUCACACUGCAUCACUCAGACACGAGGCACUCCCAGCCCAGAAGCUGCGUGACUCUCUGCAGGCAGCACCGUUCCCUAGCCAGCACGAGGAAUCACCUGCCAUUUGGCUCUAUACCCACCCGGCAGUGCCUACAAAGAAGCCCCUGAGUUCUGUACCAAACCCGCAUCUUGGCCUGCCUUUAUCAGCUCACUGCAGGUGGUGCAGCUGGGCCCUCCGCUGAACCAGAAAGUGUGGCAUUUGCCAGGACUGAAGUGUGUGUGAGUGUGUGCCUGUGGAGAGGAGGGAAACGGUUAUUGUUGUUGUUGUUGUUUUGUUUUGUUUUGUCUGAAAACCCAGCUCAUCUGUGCAUCAUAAAAGGCAUUUUGGAGUCAAGAGGUUUGUGAAGGUUGUGAGUCGGGGUCAUUAGAGCAGUGCUGUGCUGUUGAGACUCUUGCAGGCUACCUCUACGCGUACAGCUGCACAGAAAGAGCCAAGCAAUCUCUUCUCCCAUACACUAAGCCUGCCUGAACUGGAGUGCUUCUGCAUGACUGUGAAGGAAGGAGCUUAAUUCUUCCCCAUGACCUGCUUCGAGCAAAGCUGCAGCAACGAAAUGGACCGUGCUGCGUGAAACGCAGAGUCACGCUAGCGUGAGUCAAACAUCCCCCUCUGGUGCUGGAGAGCUCAGCUAAAGAGCAAGACAAAGGCAAACACAUCAGCAAACUGAAAGCGGGUGCUCUCGUGCUUUCUUCAUGGCAACAGCCCAGCAGACUCCGGCUGAGAUCAGAAAGCACCGUGUCACCUGGAGGUCUGCGGAGAAGCAGAGCGAUGUUGAAGCCUCCCUCCACCCCCAUCAUCAAAGCCUGCAGUAGGUUUCUUUCCACGCGCUUUUUCAUAGCCACUUUUUCAGUGAAAGCAGCCGUUCAAAAGGCAGCAACUCAUGAGCACAGGCGUAGCUUCGUGUGGCUGAACCGAUUAAAAUUACCCUUCAAUGUCACAAGGUAGGGGAUAUUCAAGGAGGAAAAGAGAAACAAAAAAAGUCCCACCUAGGGGACUGGCUAGUUUACAGGGACUGGUAGUGAUGAGAUCACACUGCCACAGUUCAAGGUUACCAGUUUGACUUUAGAUAAGGUUUAGCAGCAGCUAAAAUCUGUAAUGGUGGCUGUUCAGUGGCCUGUGUGAAAUUCAUGGAUAGUCUCUUGUAGACAUUUAAUCUCAGUAGGUAAUUGCUAUGUGUUUAGUAAGAAAUAUCACCAAACAGAACUAUGAAAAUCAUUGGUGGACUGAUGAAUGAUAAUGAAUAACAAAGCUCACUAAAGUCUGAUAUAUCAAGCACUGAUAUAUCAAGUAACAAUUUAUUCACAUCUCUUUGCUCCUGAGCUUUUGUCCUGUUUGUUGGAGAUGGAUGGUAGAGCUUUAGGGCAGAAAUGUUAGCAAAAAAUGUUUUGUAUGCUUGCAACAUAUCAAAAUCUUAUUAUUUUUUUUUCUAUCACAUGCGACUCCGACUUUACAUGUGCCAUAAGAUAGCAGCAUCCAAAUGCUGGGCCUCUUCAGCUUACAGAGAACACCUUGUCUGAAAAGAUGCAGGCUGCUUUAUGCUCUGUAUCUCUGUGUAGGGAGAAUUCAGAGCUUCUGGUGCAGUCCUGUGGUGUGCUCUCCUUUUGCACAGCUCACCGUACUAAAGAUGAAGGUAUUAGUAGCAUUCAGUUUUGGCUUUCACAUAUAUUUUUACUACUGUAAAAUACUUUCAAAACUUCUGUACUGCAGCAGCCUUUUCAUUUGUGUGCUUUUAAGGCAUCUUUGGGUAACAGAAAUUUACACAUGCUGUAAGUAUCAGCAACAAUAUAAAGACCAAAAAGAGGCCUGUCAAAUCUUUCAUUCCUGUAAAAUAAGGUGAAAGAAGAGACUAAAAAUGUUAUUCUCUGUUUUCUGGUGAUAAUAUAUGUUCAUCAGCAAAGUACCAAAUCCAUUGUUAACUAAAGUGAUAAUCUCUGGUAACAAAGGUACUUUCUGGGUACUGGGGAUAGAGGUGCAGGAUGCCUUUAUUUUCAUUAAAUUUCUGAUUAGUCAAUUUUAGGUUCUUGCAAAUAUUGCUGUUAUUUUCUCUUAGCAACACUGGAAAUCAAACAAAAAGGCACGGCACUUUGUUGCUGUAGGUGUAGUCCUGACACCUGGUUCUGUGUAUACACUAGAUAUUUUGAAUCCUGGAGAAACUGCAGUCCAAAGCCACUGCUAGUAGGCAGAAAACACACUGGUAGGUGGCAAAGACAGAGUUCACUGAGCACAUUUUGCAAAAUGCUUUAGGUUAUUUUUGUUUAUUGCUUGGGAUGGUACAAAUAGAUCCAAAUUUAAGCUCAGGGAUUCUUGGGUAUUUUCCUUGUGAGAUCUGUGUCUGUACAGAGAGAGUGUUAUAAUGUGCUUUCUUCUCCUUGGAGAGCGGAUAAUAUCCCCCUGGCAACAUGACAGAUCACUUAAAUGGAACAAUAAUAUCAGGCAAGUGUUUGCAGUUGUCCUUCAGGGUGCGUUAGCAUCUGGAAACGAGAAGGAACGGUGAGCAUUAUAUGGGUAAGCAAUUAGGAAGAUAGAAGUGUGCUGGGGGGAGAGCAGCAUAGUUCAAAACUGGAGUAUUUCAUAAAAAGAGUCAAAAGCAUACCUUUAAGUGAGCAGUUUGGGAAGAUCUUGUUCUGUGAGCUACUGAUGUGACUGCUGAAUAUAAGGGAUAGCCCCCUUUCUCUGUGGUGUACGCCGUUGUCUGAGAGAAGAAUUUGAUCUGGCUUUCCCACCUGCCCAAGGUGGGAAAGCCCCAGUCAGUUCAGUAACUGUCUCCGUGAAGGGCAUAUCUGUGCUCACUGACUUCUCUCAGGCUGGAAAGAAAAUGAAAAAUGAGCACAGAACCACCUCUUUGCAUCUCUACGUGAAACAAGUUGGGAGACCAUCUUCAGCUGAGCCUAAUGGGAAAGCUCCAUCAAGAGCAAGGUGCCUUGUAUAGCAAGCCCUGGUCACAGUCAUUGGCAUUCAGCUGAGAAACAGUCCCCUGCAGUACCCCUACUAACAUUUAUAAUUUGUCCCUUGCAUUGACUGAAAGCUGCCAGGAUCCACGAGGCCCUGGCCUGGAUCUGCUGUGGCCAGAUGGGAUUGCUGGGCCCCAGUCCAUUUCAUGUAGUGCCAUCACUUGCAGAUCUAUGUGCUUCAGCUCAGCUUUGUUGACCAGCCUGGAGUUUCUGCUACCUCUAUGCUAGCCCUACGGUGUGCUACAAAACUCAGAUUUUCACCCAUGCCAAGUUCACUGUGGGUCCUCACCGUGAGGUCCAAGCGCCACUGCCCCACUUUCCAAGGUGGUACUUUCCUUGAGACAAGGGUAUGAAAGGUUGAUGUCUCCAGCAAGGAGGAGAAAUGCCUGAAGUACUAAUCACAUUGCAGCUGAAGAUGGAAAUUAGUGUUAUGAUACCAAAACAAGCAGAUAAAAUAUGAAAGUCAGGCAACUCGGUCAACUUAGAGUUUGACAUAAGGACAGGAUGAUUCCAAUUAGAUGUUCAUGCUUUUAUUUCACUGGUCAUUCCUUUUUUUUUUUUCCUGCUUUUCACAUUAUUUUUUUUUCAAAUAUAAACUGUUUUGAAGGUCAAAGCCUUACAAGGCAGAACAGGUAGUGAAGUUUCAAAUAAUUUUGCAGCAAUGGUCUAUUGCCCACCCAUGCUAGGAACCCACAAUGUAAAAUAACUCAAAAGUCACACUUUGAGCAUUCAUUGCAGGCCCAGUUUGUCCCCUAGCGGUUUUGUUUUUCAGGAUUCAUGUCCAUAUGUGCUCAAAUUUGCAUGUUGUUUUAUGCAUCCAGAAGAGCUAACUUCCUCCUGUUUCUUUCCUUUGGAUGGAUGCUAUGGUUUUAUGUGGGGAUGAGUGACACUUAUGACAGACAGGCUGACAAAACAAGGCAAAACCAUGGGAGUCUGCAACAUCAACAGUUAUGUUGGUGUUUCCAUGUCCCUGCUGAGGAUGGGAAAUGUUUUGCCAUCACUCUUCCUACGUACACAGCCCUAAAGUGUUCAGAAGGGCUAAAUUUCUCAUGAAAUGAUCUUCAAGUGUUGUGCUGUCAUGAUAGGGAGAGAAGUUGGACUCAGUUCUCGUACGCCAUAGUAUAGCAUGGAGCCUCUAUCAGUGGUGUAGAAGGACCUUUUUUGUGGACUGGCACCUAUUUGGAGCAAUCAAAUCCCCAGCCACUGCAGUCAAAAUAGUCUUUUCUCUGUAUUGUUAGGAUAAAUUCCUGCAGUCCAUACCAUACCUUUCUCUGUGCUUGUCUGCUAACUAUGCAGAAAGAGCUAAGCAAUCAUGCAUAAUUCAUUACUCUUAAUUAAAAUGUAAAUUUAUUGUCAGCCUUUUUGGGUAAUUAAAGCACCAUUGGGGGAAUAGGUUUACGUUCUGUAUCUGGAGCUCCUUUUGCUAAAAUAAACACAUGACGCUUUAUGCUCUGUUUGAAGAGGUGCAAUUGAUUACCAAGUGGGACAGAGCUGAACUUCCAGGGGAGGUCCAUCAGCUGGCGUGUGUCUAAUAUUCAACAGAGUGCAAAUCCACUUUGCCAUAAACUGAGCUGGCUUAUUCUCUGUGGAGUUAGAUGCCUGCAUUUCGGAUCUGGCACAGACAUAAAGUAUUAUUUAUAGGUAUAUUUCUCCUCCCCCCUCCUCCCAUCCCCUCCCCAAAUCCAGCCUUUUAUUGGCCUCAAGCUGUUCCUCAGGAGCCUUCAGAGCUACUUUGAUGGAUUGCUGUGCUUACUGUAAACAGUCGACUUACUAGAGUGUCUUGCAGGUUAGGCUUCAUUCUUUAUAGACCUUGAAGCUUCCCAUGCAGUUGGGUAUCCAUUAAACGAAGGAUUAAGUGUAUAGAAAAAAAAAAAAAAAAAAAAAAAAAAAAAAAAAAAGAAAAAGAAAGAAAUGCGUCUUCCACAAGGACAGAGUAGUGCGAGGGUGCUCAGCAGGGGACUUGGUUGUAAUUGUUAGCAUUUUCCCCUUCCUCCCUCAGUGCAAUAAAAUCUUCAAAUUAAAAAGGGAUGUAGUAAAGGUGGUCUUGGGGUUGUGGACGAAGUGCAAAGAGCUCCUCAUGAAAGAAAACUGCCAUGGGGCCACGCAGGGGGAGAGAGAGGGAGAGGCUUCCCGGCUCCCCCUUUCAAAGUGCUGUGGGGAUUAGGCGUGUUUCAGCACUGCUCUUUGGAUUAUUUCUUCCCUCCAACAAAAGCAUGACCUCUCUGUCUCUGCCUGUGUCCCGUCUCUGUCUGUCUCUGCCUCCCGCGGACAGGCGGACAGAGGUCAUUUCAGCUCUGGGGGAGGGUUUGGUGCUGAAGAGAGACAAAGAAGGGAGGCUCUUUGCUGUGCCAUCGCCUGAAGUCACAUUAUUCUCAUGCAAAGGCUACACACAUCUCUCUCGGAAGGUCUGGCAUUCAUUACCUGCCUUCUGCCAUAACCUUACGGCUUCAGAAAUAUGUGGGGAAUUUCAGGAUCCGAUCCCCCAGCCUAAUCACCACAGGGGUUGACCAUGGUCUAAGCCAGGCCUGAGUGAGCCUCGCCAUGCAGCCCGAGGGGGUGCGGGCAGGGUAUGCGCAGCAGGGCGAGGGGCAGGGAGAGGACCAGCAUCAGGGCUGGUUGGAAAGGCCGUCUCUGGACAGCCGUCAGCUCUGCUGCUGAGGGAAGUACCAAGUGAAACUGAUAAUUAUCUACAGCACGUGUACGAGCUGCAGGCCUUUUGAUGUUGGGGCUCAUGUGCGUUGAGUUAGCCAGCACAUCUUAAUCUGAUUGUCUUUGCUUUUUUAAAUGAAGAUUCAGAGAGCUCUUAUCUCCCUGUGUCCCUUCCCUGCCUUUGAACUUUUGUUUCACUGACGUUUUCACAGACGCAGCCUUCCCCCUGCCAGGCCCCACCAGGGCCAGCUCACUGAGGUAACAUGGCAGGUGCCGCUGGCUCGGCGAAACAAGGAGCUCUUCACCUGCCACCGCCUUUCAGCCUGCGACCUUGAAACCUGUUUCAUCGGUGGCACCAGGCAGUAGAAGGGGGAGGCAAAAAGGAGAGACAAACCGGUGGAAGAGGCUCUGAUGGGUUCAAUAAAACCCUGGCUGUUCUGGCCUUCCCUGAGCACCAGCCAUUUCCUCACGGGUGCAGGGAGUCUCCAGAAAGCAAACCCUAAAACUCAUCAGCUCCUCUUGCAAAAGUCAGAGUCUUUGUCCUAACCACAAACACUUCACCAGCACCCCACCCGCCACAAAACACAAUAGCUCAUUCCCUCCAUGGUUCUCCAAGCUUUUCACAGAUAUUAGUCAACGUUUUCAUGUUAUUAUUACAGCUUUACUUUAUUACUCUCCUUUUUUUAAUAAAAAUGCUCAUGCUGCUUUGGCCCAUUUUUUUAUUUUUUUUAUAACCCAGUCUGUUUUAAUAGCUGCAUAUAAGACUGAAUUAAGGGGAAAAAAAUGGAUGCGUUUGACUCAUUUCAGAAUCGUUUCUGAAAUGUUUUUCCAGCAGUCUUGAUGGCCUGCAUCCCCCUAGGGAGGCUCAGGUGCUGGCCAGCAUGAGCUGACCUUGCUGUAGCUUGGUCCAGGAUAUAAGCUUUCCCUCUGCAUCAUGCUGCACUUUUCCUCCUGCCUCUCAUUUCAAGUCUGUAGGCAUCUGUUGCCUGCAACACAGGCACCUUCAGUGGGUACAGUCCUGCCUGGUGCCCUCAAGAGCCCCUCACAUGGCCGGGGAAAGGCCUGGGUAGGGCUCAGGUGCCUGGGGGACGGUGGCUGAGCACACGCGAUGGCUUCACAGCAUUAUCUCACAGCCACACCAGAGUAAUCUCUUAGGUGGAUUAUUUCCAAAGCCACAACGAGAGCGUGCCAUUUCCAGAGUCUCAUGCAAAGCACUUGUGGAGCCAUUUCUCUUUUCGUUUGCCCACCGAUGAAGGUUGGCUAAAGGCUGUGAGACUCUCAGCCUCCUCACAAGAAGAUCGGCAUUGCACGCCUGUAAGGGUAGAUAUUGAUGCUUGUUCUUGGAGCCCAGAGGAGGGUUAAGAGCCCGGCCGUAGCUCAUCUGGCUCUGAAGCCCUUUGAGCACUGUCGUCAAGGGAGGAGGCAGCCAGCUGACAACUGCUGGGUCAAUCCCAGAACAGCUUGCCAGGGAAGCCUAUCAAGUCACAGUAAUCGGGUUUGAUUUAAAUCUUUCUCCUUCUCAUCACCCCUUCUGGAUUAAGUCAUCUCCACCAAAGACGAGAGAGGCUGUCUUGGAAGAAGCACAGACGUGCUCUUGUACAG
Non-coding RNA from Anas platyrhynchos (mallard), 10721 nucleotides. Lineage: Eukaryota; Metazoa; Chordata; Aves; Anseriformes; Anatidae. The record is from RefSeq and is a predicted model, not a curated record.